Molecule: long non-coding RNA, 828 nt
Filed under: Rattus norvegicus (Norway rat)
Lineage: Eukaryota; Metazoa; Chordata; Mammalia; Rodentia; Muridae
Description: long non-coding RNA NONRATT020224
Source: RNAcentral
GCUCAGAGAGGUCCUGCAGAUUGUGGGACUAACUCAUUCAUACUUGACCCUUAUUUCCUGGCCUGUCUCCUAUUCUGGCCAGAAAACAAAGAGCUAGAUCAAGAUUCCUAACUGAUAGAAAAGUAUGUCUCAUCCUUGAAUCGAUCUUUCAGGAGACAGAACAAGCACAUGUGCAGGUCCAGGCAGCCAAGCACACUCUUCUACUUGGGGCAGAAGAAGGGUCUUAACAGUCUUGUUCACAAGGCUGAAAUCGAGCGCUACUUCAGUGAAGUACAAGAUUCAAAUUCUUUCUGGCAGAGUGGAGUAUUGUGGGAAAAAGGAGAGGUCAAAGACAUCCUAUGCCUGCUGGAUGGCCAGGCUGAAGGCAAACUAAUCUCACUAGAAUAUGGAACAGAGGCAAACAUAAAAAUACCCAUGACUUCUGUGCAUUCUGGUCCACUCAGAAGUGGGAGGAACAUGGAGAGAGUCUCCUUCUACCUUGGAUUUUCCAUUGAGGGCCCUCUGGCAUAUGGCAUAAAAGUAAUAUGAGGAGGUAUAUUAGUUCAACAAUGUUAUUUUGCAUCUCUCAUUGUACUUACUCUUCCUAGCCCAUAGAAUUUGCAUGGCAUUAUUGGCUUAAUUAUAAUCACACAGUUUGCUUCUUUUUCUCUGAAUCGGUCUGGAAAACUUUGUAAGACAGGGAAUAUAUCCACACCACAAGCUUGACCACAGUAGCAACAGUCAUUCCAUAUCCUCAUUAUGCACUCCCAAGUAGAGAUAUUUGGUUAAGACAUUUCAGUUGGUCCCAGAGUAACUCUCUAACUGGUCAAUAAAAAUCCGUUGUAAAUU